Gastrolobium bilobum is the source of this 911-nucleotide long non-coding RNA. RefSeq lists it as uncharacterized. The record is from RefSeq and is a predicted model, not a curated record. The transcript is spliced from 4 exons. NCBI's taxonomy places the organism in Eukaryota, Viridiplantae, Streptophyta, Magnoliopsida, Fabales, Fabaceae.
UCAUGAAUUUGUGGUUGAAAUUAGGUGAUUGAUUAAAGUUAAAACGCGUGUGGGACCCGCCUGUGACUUAAGUGAGUCAAACUCACCAUUUCUUCACACUUUCUCUCUCCUCCCCUCCUUCUUCUUCACGCUGGAACAGCCUCCCCCAUGCCCAUUUCUUCUUGAUUUUCUUUUCUUCACAAAUCACUCAUUUCUCCACCAAAUCCAACAAAAUUUGUGUUGAAAUUUGUUGGAAAAGACCUUCUAAACACAUUGGUACCACUCUUAAGCCUUGAAAUCGCCUCUUUGUGGAGCAUUUGGCAAAAAUCAGAUCCGAAAAUUUGAAGAAAAUUGGAUGUUCAUGGAGCUUUUGAUCUUCCAUUGCUUGGAGGAGUCUUGGGUUAGCUUCUAGCCUUUGUUGUGAGUUGCCGUACAUCGACUUGAAUCCCGAAUCUUGAUUCAGUGAGUUGCCAUUGGUCUUGGACCAAGUGGAUUGAGGCAUUCCGCUGUGUACCGAGUUGAGGGAUAAGCUGCUGCGGAGCUUGUGGAAACACGAAUUAAGGAGGUAGCAGUGGAGCAGGAGCCUCGGGCAAGAGGCCCGCAGAGUGAGCGCUGGAGCGCUUCAUAUUUUGCAUUUUGUUGGCCGUGUGGCCUAGGCUAGACUUAGGGCAUGAACAUGUCAUUUGUAUUUAUUAGUAGCUUCAUUAGCAUCUUGUUCAUGCCAUUUUGCCUAAGUCUAGUAGUGAUGUAUUUGGUUAUGUUGUCUUUUAAAUUAAGUUGAAAUUUUAGAAGAAUGUAAUUUGAAGUUUUAGUUUCAAGUUGUAAUUUGUAAAGCCAUAUUGUAAUAGUAUUGAUGCAUGUCUAACUAUGAUGGAAGGGCCUUAGGCUUAUCUUAGGUUAUGAUAAUAUGUAUGAUGGAAAUAUGCAUGAAA